ACACCCAUCAAGCCUGGCUUGGUAUUGGGCGACGGGACCUCCCCGCGCCCCGAUUUCGCCGGCUGGACGACCCCGAUCUCUCAAGCGUUGUACAAUCUCGCUGGUGAGAGGGGCGGCCACGCCGUUAACCUUAAUCAAUUCA
RNAcentral lists this unclassified non-coding RNA (142 nucleotides) under uncultured Capnodiales. RNAcentral describes it as "sequence contains ITS2". RNAcentral also lists the same sequence under 1 other name. Lineage: Eukaryota; Fungi; Ascomycota; Dothideomycetes; Capnodiales. The record is from RNAcentral.